UAUUUCUGUCUUUCCUGAACAGCACAUACCCUUCAAUACCUGUACCCCAGUCAUGACUACCAUUUCACCAUGUUUCUGUUAUCCCUAUAAUAUCUGGUUUCACUUGUUGCACCAGAAGUUCUAGUUCCUCCAUUUUGUUUCCCGGGAGCCCC
Long non-coding RNA from Chelonia mydas (Green sea turtle), 152 nucleotides. RefSeq lists it as uncharacterized. The record is from RefSeq and is a predicted model, not a curated record. The transcript is spliced from 4 exons. Lineage: Eukaryota; Metazoa; Chordata; Testudines; Cheloniidae.